RNAcentral lists this long non-coding RNA (685 nucleotides) under Homo sapiens (human). Its description in RNAcentral is "HSALNT0183826". Lineage: Eukaryota; Metazoa; Chordata; Mammalia; Primates; Hominidae. The record is from RNAcentral.
AUUCCUUCACCACGUGGCCAUGGUGAGGACUCACGGACUCGCUGCUCCACAGCAAUGAGCCCACGGCUGUCAUAGUGAGAGGUAGCGCAGAGUGACAGCACGGACCCAGAGCCCACCUCAGCUCCCAGGACCCCUGCUCUUCACUGUUUGACCUGACUUGACUUUUCUGGGCCUCAGUUUCUUCAUCUGUGAAGUAGGUUGCUGAGAGCACCUAGAACAGUUCAUGGCACUUAAAUCUCAUCAGUGUGGCUAUUUUUAUUCAAGUCUUUAAAGCCCUCUCUGGAAGUAGGCCACAGGAUCCACCUACACUUCAGAAGCAAAGAAAUGAUGUUGAGAGAAGCUAAAUGAAUGUUCCAAGGUGACACACUGGCACGAGUGAAUUGUGCUGGGUGGUUGGCAAAGCCAGGCAUUUUCAGGGGCUUUUCUGUGAUCUUAUCCUGUCUCUUAAAAGCAGCUGGUACUCCUGACUCCCUACUCUAGGUUAUGCCAAACAGAGGUUGAGGCCUGAGACAGACAUUUGUCCUCUUGCCCUGGAGCUAAGCAAUAGCUUCUGUAUUGUGUUUGCCCGCAGAGGACCACAGGGUGUCACUCAGUCACCUUGGCCAGCGCCACUUAGAAUGCAUCUGUACCGAGCCUCACUUCUGCCUCCUGCCCUCACUGCCCUCACUGGAAGCACCUUCCCCAC